This 510-nucleotide ribosomal RNA is filed under the name uncultured bacterium. Its description in RNAcentral is "bacterial SSU rRNA". It matches the Rfam family "Bacterial small subunit ribosomal RNA", at positions 15 to 518 of the family's 1533-position model. The record is from RNAcentral.
GAUUCUGGCUCAGGAUGAACGCUAGCGGCAGGCCUAAUACAUGCAAGUCGAACGGGAUAGGCUCCUCGGGGGCCUUGAGAGUGGCGCACGGGUGCGCAACGCGUAUGCAACCAACCCCCGACAGGCGGAUAGCCGGUGGAAACGCCGGAUAAUACGCCAUGGGUUCCGUGGGAGGGCAUCCUCCUGAGGAUAAAGCCGAGAGGCGGUCGGGGACGGGCAUGCGUCCCAUUAGAUGGUAGGCGGGGUGACGGCCCACCCUAGUCCACGAUGGGUAGGGGAUCUGAGAGGACGGUCCCCCACACUGGUACUGAGACACGGACCAGACUCCUGCGGGAGGCAGCAGUAAGGGAUAUUGGUCAAUGGGCGGAAGCCUGAACCAGCCAUGCCGCGUGAGGGAAUGGGGCCCUACGGGUCGUGAACCUCUUUUAUUCGGGGACAAGGACGCGGUCGGGAACCGUGUUUAAGGGUACCGAAGGAAUAAGCGUCGGCUAACUCCGUGCCAGCAGCCGC